UCCAGCAGCUGUCAAGCUGUCCAGGCUUGUAUGAUGCCUGUGAUGGUGUUACACUGUUGGAAGAGCAAGCACUGUUUUUGUUGAGGUUUGGCUCUAAGCACUGUUUUGGUGUGUUGGGGGCAAGAACCCUUGGGCAGUGUUUUGUGCCUCUGAGAGUGGAAUGUCUCUUCCUGUGGAGUUGCUCCUAGUUUGGGUGCAAACAAU
Oryctolagus cuniculus (rabbit) is the source of this 204-nucleotide small nucleolar RNA. Its record names the gene SNORA74. It matches the Rfam family "Small nucleolar RNA SNORA74". Rfam says of the family: U19 belongs to the H/ACA class of snoRNAs. snoRNAs bind a number of proteins (including dyskerin, Gar1p and Nop10p in the case of the H/ACA class) to form snoRNP complexes. This class are thought to guide the sites of modification of uridines to pseudouridines by forming direct base pairing interactions with substrate RNAs. NCBI's taxonomy places the organism in Eukaryota, Metazoa, Chordata, Mammalia, Lagomorpha, Leporidae. The record is from Ensembl.